This 484-nucleotide ribosomal RNA is filed under the name uncultured bacterium. Its description in RNAcentral is "partial 16S ribosomal RNA". It matches the Rfam family "Bacterial small subunit ribosomal RNA", at positions 30 to 507 of the family's 1533-position model. The record is from RNAcentral.
AUUGAACGCUGGCGGCAGGCCUAACACAUGCAAGUCGAGCGGAUGAGGGGAGCUUGCUCCUGGAUUCAGCGGCGGACGGGUGAGUAAUGCCUAGGAAUCUGCCUGGUAGUGGGGGAUAACGUCCGGAAACGGGCGCUAAUACCGCAUACGUCCUGAGGGAGAAAGUGGGGGAUCUUCGGACCUCACGCUAUCAGAUGAGCCUAGGGCGGAUUAGCUAGUUGGUGGGGUAAAGGCCUACCAAGGCGACGAUCCGUAACUGGUCUGAGAGGAUGAUCAGUCACACUGGAACUGAGACACGGUCCAGACUCCUACGGGAGGCAGCAGUGGGGAAUACUGGACAAUGGGCGAAAGCCUGAUCCAGCCAUGCCGCGUGUGUGAAGAAGGUCUUCGGAUUGUAAAGCACUUUAAGUUGGGAGGAAGGGCAGUAAGUUAAUACCUUGCUGUUUUGACGUUACCAACAGAAUAAGCACCGGCUAACUUCGUG